GAAAAACACAGAAAUUCUUCAUCAAGAAAUAAGGUCUUGGAAAAGAGCAUUUCAAGUUUAAGAAUUUUUAGAGGAAAGCGUCCUCUUCUUUUAUUGUUUCCGAGCCAUUGGUUCAUCAGAGUUCGCGGUAGCUCAUUUCCUAGUGGUGAGAAGUCUUCUCUAGAGCUCAUCUUCUGGUGGUAAGAAAUCUUCAAGCUCGUUUUUUCAGUUUGCUACACAAAAAGAGAUGUUCCUUGUGUUCACCCCGAAAUUGAGCUUCUUUCUCCUUUUGCUUUUGGUAAUCAACUGUUUGCAUCCUCUCUGUCAAGGAUUAGAGUCGUGUGUUCCAGCUCCGAGGCUCUGUGGGGAUUAGCAGUGCCAUGAAUGCGGUUGAUGUGAGAUGCACAACAGAAGGUGUGCUACGGAACUCCAUCACCUGUUACAAUGUGGCCGAGGUUAUAAGUGAAAGAGAUAUGAGACAAUCCAUGAUUAAGACAUCGCUUGGGAGCUUAAUGUACAGUUCCCAGGUAAUA
Solanum stenotomum is the source of this 512-nucleotide long non-coding RNA. RefSeq lists it as uncharacterized. The record is from RefSeq and is a predicted model, not a curated record. NCBI's taxonomy places the organism in Eukaryota, Viridiplantae, Streptophyta, Magnoliopsida, Solanales, Solanaceae. The transcript is spliced from 4 exons.